This 72-nucleotide transfer RNA is filed under the name Camelus bactrianus (Bactrian camel). It matches the Rfam family "tRNA". Rfam says of the family: Transfer RNA (tRNA) molecules are approximately 80 nucleotides in length. RNAcentral also lists the same sequence under 1 other name. Lineage: Eukaryota; Metazoa; Chordata; Mammalia; Artiodactyla; Camelidae. The record is from Rfam by way of RNAcentral.
GUGGGUAUAGCUCAGUGGUAGUGCGCCUGCUGGGCACACACGAGGUGCUGGGUUCAAUCCCCAGUACCUCUA